Unclassified non-coding RNA from Callithrix jacchus (white-tufted-ear marmoset), 300 nucleotides. It matches the Rfam family "Metazoan signal recognition particle RNA". Rfam says of the family: The signal recognition particle (SRP) is a universally conserved ribonucleoprotein. It is involved in the co-translational targeting of proteins to membranes. The eukaryotic SRP consists of a 300-nucleotide 7S RNA and six proteins: SRPs 72, 68, 54, 19, 14, and 9. The record is from Ensembl. Lineage: Eukaryota; Metazoa; Chordata; Mammalia; Primates; Cebidae.
GCCGGGUGCGGUGGCGCGUGCCUAUAGUCCCAGCUACUUGGGAGGCUGAGGUGGGAGGAUCGCUUGAGCCCAGGAGUUCUGGGCUGUAGUGCGCUAUGCCGAUUGGGUGUCUGCACUAAGUUCGGCAUCAAUAUGGUGACCUCCUGGGAGCCAGGGACCACCAGGUUGCCUAAGGAGGGGUGAACCAGCCCAGGUCGGAAAUGGAGCAGGUCAAAACUCCUGUGCUGAUCAGUAGUGGGAUCGCGCCUGUGAACAGCCACUGCACUCCAGCCUGGGCAACAUAGCCAGACCCCAUCUCUU